This is a long non-coding RNA of Physeter macrocephalus (sperm whale), 564 nucleotides long. RefSeq lists it as uncharacterized. Lineage: Eukaryota; Metazoa; Chordata; Mammalia; Artiodactyla; Physeteridae. The record is from RefSeq and is a predicted model, not a curated record. The transcript has 4 exons.
CGCCCCGCCCGCCGCCUUAAUCCAGAGCCCCGCAAUGCCCUGCUGUCCGCGGCUGCUAGGCACCGGAAACUGAAGCCCCUGGCUACAGCCUGAGACCGGAAGCGGAAGCGCCGGACGGUGCAGAGGAAGGAGUCGCGGGGUGGCUCACUGAGCUGUGUGUAGUUUUCUCCGCGGGGGACUGGGUUCACGUGACAAGUUAUCUCUGGAGUUCAAGUUUGAGUUGAAACCAGCCUCAAAUUUCACCUGUCCUCACUGACCCGUGGAUUUCUGUGUGACCAGGUUUUGUCGUUCUGGAAUUCAGGAGCAGCUUAGCUGGAAGGUUCUGGCUUGGGACUUUCAUGAAGCUGCAGGAGGUUAUCAGCUGGGACUGCAGUCAUCUGAAGGCUUGACUGGUGCCGAAGGGUUCACUUCCAAGGAGGUUCCCUCACAUUCUGGCACAUCAGUGCUGACUGUUGGAGGGGACAGUUCCUUUCCAAAUCAGCCCUGAUUCAGUGUGGCUGUGAAUACCAGGAAGCUUGGAUCAUUCAAGCUAUUUGGGAAGCUGAUAACCAUAGAGGGAAAAGG